This 739-nucleotide ribosomal RNA is filed under the name Limosilactobacillus reuteri. RNAcentral's name for it is "bacterial SSU rRNA". It matches the Rfam family "Bacterial small subunit ribosomal RNA", at positions 334 to 1064 of the family's 1533-position model. Lineage: Bacteria; Bacillati; Bacillota; Bacilli; Lactobacillales; Lactobacillaceae. The record is from RNAcentral.
UACUCCUACGGGAGGCAGCAGUAGGGAAUCUUCCACAAUGGGCGCAAGCCUGAUGGAGCAACACCGCGUGAGUGAAGAAGGGUUUCGGCUCGUAAAGCUCUGUUGUUGGAGAAGAACGUGCGUGAGAGUAACUGUUCACGCAGUGACGGUAUCCAACCAGAAAGUCACGGCUAACUACGUGCCAGCAGCCGCGGUAAUACGUAGGUGGCAAGCGUUAUCCGGAUUUAUUGGGCGUAAAGCGAGCGCAGGCGGUUGCUUAGGUCUGAUGUGAAAGCCUUCGGCUUAACCGAAGAAGUGCAUCGGAAACCGGGCGACUUGAGUGCAGAAGAGGACAGUGGAACUCCAUGUGUAGCGGUGGAAUGCGUAGAUAUAUGGAAGAACACCAGUGGCGAAGGCGGCUGUCUGGUCUGCAACUGACGCUGAGGCUCGAAAGCAUGGGUAGCGAACAGGAUUAGAUACCCUGGUAGUCCAUGCCGUAAACGAUGAGUGCUAGGUGUUGGAGGGUUUCCGCCCUUCAGUGCCGGAGCUAACGCAUUAAGCACUCCGCCUGGGGAGUACGACCGCAAGGUUGAAACUCAAAGGAAUUGACGGGGGCCCGCACAAGCGGUGGAGCAUGUGGUUUAAUUCGAAGCUACGCGAAGAACCUUACCAGGUCUUGACAUCUUGCGCUAACCUUAGAGAUAAGGCGUUCCCUUCGGGGACGCAAUGACAGGUGGUGCAUGGUCGUCGUCAGCUCGUG